UCAACCCUCAAGCCCGGCUUGCUGUUGGGUCCCGCCGUUGCAACGACGGCGGACCCCAAAGAUAAUGGCAGAGUCCGCGGGGACCUGGAUGCAGCGAGCUUCACGGCACGCGUCUGGACCUUCGCCGGGCUCGGUCUUAACCAAUCUUCUCU
Molecule: unclassified non-coding RNA, 152 nt
Filed under: uncultured Verrucaria
Lineage: Eukaryota; Fungi; Ascomycota; Eurotiomycetes; Verrucariales; Verrucariaceae
Description: partial internal transcribed spacer 2
Source: RNAcentral